GUGGGUAGUUUGACUGGGGCGGUCUCCUCCUAAAGAGUAACGGAGGAGCACGAAGGUUAGCUAAUCCUGGUCGGACAUCAGGAGGUUAGUGCAAAGGCAUAAGCUAGCUUGACUGCGAGAGUGACGGCUCGAGCAGGUGCGAAAGCAGGUCUUAGUGAUCCGGUGGUUCUGAAUGGAAGGGCCAUCGCUCAACGGAUAAAAGGUACUCCGGGGAUAACAGGCUGAUACCGCCCAAGAGUUCAUAUCGACGGCGGUGUUUGGCACCUCGAUGUCGGCUCAUCACAUCCUGGGGCUGAAGUAGGUCCCAAGGGUAUGGCUGUUCGCCAUUUAAAGUGGUACGCGAGCUGGGUUUAGAACGUCGUGAGACAGUUCGGUCCCUAUCUGCCGUGGGCGCUGGAGAAUUGAGGGGGGCUGCUCCUAGUACGAGAGGACCGGAGUGGACGCAUCACUGGUGUUCGGGUUGUCAUGCCAAUGGCAUUGCCCGGUAGCUAAAUGCGGAAGAGAUAAGUGCUGAAAGCAUCUAAGCACGAAACUUGCCCCGAGAUGAGUUCUCCCUGAGACUUUAAG
This 567-nucleotide ribosomal RNA is filed under the name Citrobacter freundii. RNAcentral describes it as "partial 23S ribosomal RNA". It matches the Rfam family "Bacterial large subunit ribosomal RNA", at positions 2261 to 2832 of the family's 2925-position model. The record is from RNAcentral. Lineage: Bacteria; Pseudomonadati; Pseudomonadota; Gammaproteobacteria; Enterobacterales; Enterobacteriaceae.